RNAcentral lists this ribosomal RNA (897 nucleotides) under uncultured bacterium. RNAcentral describes it as "bacterial SSU rRNA". It matches the Rfam family "Bacterial small subunit ribosomal RNA", at positions 45 to 985 of the family's 1533-position model. The record is from RNAcentral.
GGCAGCUAGCAUGCAGUCAGGGGGCCCGCAAGGGCAACCGGCGAACGAGGUAGUAACACGUAGGAACGUACCCCAAAGUCUGGAAUAGCCCGCCGAAAGGCGGGGUAAUACCGGAUGGUCUCGAAAGAGUAAAGAUUUAUCGCUUUGGGAGCGGCCUGCGGAGUAUCAGCUAGUUGGUAGUGUAAUGGACUACCAAGGCAAUGACGCUUAGGGGAGGUGAGAGCCUGACCCCCACCGAUGGAACUGAGACACGGUCCAUACACCUACGGGUGGCCGCAGUCGAGAAUCUUCCGCAAUGGGCGAAAGCCUGACGGAGCGACGCCGCGUGAUUGAUGAAGUCCUUAGGGACGUAAAGAUCUUUUAUUGGGGAGGAAGUUUAUUGACGUUACCCAAUGAAUAAGGGGUUGCUAAACUCGUGCCAGCAGCAGCGGUAAUACGAGUGCCCCAAGCAUUAUCCGGAAUCACUGGGCGUAAAGAGUAUGUAGGUGGUCUUAUUAGUCCUUCGUUAAAGCUCCCGGCUUAACCGGGAAGGUGCGAGGGAAACGGUAAGACUAGUGGGCGCGAGAGGUUUGCGGAACUCAUGGUGUAGGGGUGAAAUCCGUUGAUAUCAUGGGGAACACCAAAUGCGAAGGCAGCAAACUGGCGCGUUCCAGACACUGAGAUACGGAAGCGUGGGUAGCGAAUGGGAUUAGAUACCCCAGUAGUCCACGCCCUAAACGAUGUCAACUGGCUUUCCGGAGUAUCGACCCUCUGGGAGGCGAAGCUAACGCGUUAAGUUGACCGCCUGGGUAGUACGAGCGCAAGCUUAAAACUCAAAGGAAUAGACGGGGACUUGCACAAGCGGUGGAUCAUGCGGUUUAAUUCGACGCAACGCGAAGAACCUUACCUACUCUUGAC